This 22-nucleotide ribosomal RNA is filed under the name Cladosporium cladosporioides. Its description in RNAcentral is "partial 28S ribosomal RNA". Lineage: Eukaryota; Fungi; Ascomycota; Dothideomycetes; Cladosporiales; Cladosporiaceae. The record is from RNAcentral. RNAcentral also lists the same sequence under 17 other names.
GUUGACCUCGGAUCAGGUAGGG